GACGAACGCUGGCGGCGUGCUUAACACAUGCAAGUCGAACGGAAAGGCCCUGCUUUUGUGGGGUGCUCGAGUGGCGAACGGGUGAGUAACACGUGAGUAACCUGCUCUUGACUUUGGGAUAACUUCAGGAAACUGGGGCUAAUACCGGAUAGGAGCUCCUGCUGCAUGGUGGGGGUUGGAAAGUUUCGGCGGUUGGGGAUGGACUCGAGGCUUAUCAGCUUGUUGGUGGGGUAGUGGCUUACCAAGGCUUUGACGGGUAGCCGGCCUGAGAGGGUGACCGGACACAUUGGGACUGAGAUACGGCCCAGACUGCUACGGGAGGCAGAAGUGGGGAAUAUUGCACAAUGGGCGGAAGCCUGAUGCAGCAACGCCGCGUGCGGGAUGACGGCCUUCGGGUUGUAAACCGCUUUCGCCUGUGACGAAGCGUGAGUGACGGUAAUGGGUAAAGAAGCACCGGCUAACUACGUG
RNAcentral lists this ribosomal RNA (468 nucleotides) under uncultured bacterium. RNAcentral's name for it is "partial 16S ribosomal RNA". It matches the Rfam family "Bacterial small subunit ribosomal RNA", at positions 28 to 507 of the family's 1533-position model. The record is from RNAcentral.